Molecule: non-coding RNA, 1232 nt
Organism: Paramuricea clavata
Lineage: Eukaryota; Metazoa; Cnidaria; Anthozoa; Malacalcyonacea; Plexauridae
Source: the annotation of a GenBank genome assembly
CAAUAUCAAAUGCAAAUUACCAUCAUUAUAGUUUCUCGCAGUGUAUAUAUGCAAAACAGAGUUCUUUGACGUUAGCUGCCUUAGAUUAUUGCAGGGCGUGAGAUGUUAUACUGAAACAUCAAAGAUUCCUUAUCAUCUGUAGCAGAGCAAGCAGGUAACGAUAUAAUUAAACUCCUAGUAGCCGAUUAAAGUUCAAGCUUAAUUUGAUUUUGUUUCUAAUACACUGAAAUGACUAUUAUUUACCAACGAUCCAAGCUUUGUCCGAAACCCAGUAGUUACAUAUACUUUUGAGUUAUCCCUAUAGUAUGUUGCCGUUCCGUCCAGUCUACGGUUCUGACUAUACUCAUGCAGGCUAUAUAGCCGUUGAAUAAGCUAGGAUUCUGUGAUGACUGAUGUAUCGUGUUAUUAGCAGAUUUUCCGCUAUGAGUGAAGUGCGAAAUUCAUAGUAAUGCUACAAAAUGGUUGUAUUUUGUUACUAAGUUAAAUAAAUUGAUGGUGUAUGGCGCCACAAUUUAGAAUUUUACCUUUGAAUUAGUAUGAGGAAAUGUUACACUGUAGGUUGUGUAUGUACUAUGUAUUUAUUACAUUUGUCAUAUCUGCCCCAACUUUAAUCAUAAUAUACUUUUAUGUCCCAUUCAACUCUAAUCUUAUACACUAUUUACCCCAAGACAUAUAAAGUCGAAAUAAAAUUGUAUAUAUAGUGAAUGCGCCUGCCGGUAUAUGGAAUCGUGACACCUUGCUUCUGGCAGAAACUGACCGCCUGAAUUGUGCAUAUUUCUCUAGGUUUAUAAGGGCAGUUCAAGUGUCGACAAAAUGAAUGUUCUUUGGGCGAUCAUUUGGUUUCUAGUCCUAUUAUUUAUCGCAUGGCCAGUUGGAUUUUUCUGUGCCGGUUGGUACAUUUGUUGUUCGCCGUUCGAGGCUUGUAUAUCAGCAUGUAAGUCAAUCACAGACUUACUCAUGAAAGGAUUGUCAUUUCCACUUAACGUUGCGAAGCAUAUGGUUGAGGGAAAGACUGGCUGGUAAUAAUUUUGGGAGUUCUGUAUUUCUUCUGUUCAUGGCUAUAUGAUGGCAUGGGGGAAUAUUUGCUGUACCUGCUGUUACCGUAGCAACGGUAAUUAAUUAUGAAAAGGACGACAUAACAAUUACUAUUUAGCAUUUUAGCACGGCAUGCAUGGAACUCACCGUUCACUAGACAAAAUGUAAGAUAUAUAACUUAAAAUAUAUAUAUAUAG